AUGGAUGGGGUGUCUGCUUACGGCACUGCUAAAGCAUACAAACUUCCGACAGGCAGGGAUCAUGCACCUGCAUCAUUUGCGGAACCCCAACGCAACGCUCCGGGCAUCUUCGCCCUCUCCAAACGCACCAAUAGUUGGGUCGCCAAGGCGUUGAAUAAUAAUUAUUGGGUCUGUCACAUCAAUCUACAAGGCGUCCUCUUGGUUACCCUCAUCCAACAAUUUUUUGCCGUUUCGUGCAAGUCCCUUGGGGUUCAGCUUGUCCCAUACACCAAGGAUGGCAUUCGGUGGAAUUUCACAGCCGAUGGAUGCUACUCCGCCGCCACCGCAUACAAGAUGCAGUUUGCCGGAUUGAUCAAGUCUGAGAUGCCUAGGAUGGUUUGGAAGAUUUGGGCACCUCUUAAGAUUAAAUUCUUCUCCUGGAUGAUCCUUCAAGAUAAAAUCUGGAGGGCUGACAGGUUGCUUUGCAGAGGUUGGUCAAACUCCGGCUUUGCCAACUUUGCAAGAGGGAAGCGGAAACGGUGGCUAACCUUAUGUUUAAAUGCCGCUUCACUAUUCAGGGUUUGGAACUUGAUUCACAAACUGUUGGGCCGGCAAUCGGCUACACCUUCUUGGAUCGACAUGCACACGAUCAAAUAA
This 636-nucleotide ribosomal RNA is filed under the name Triticum aestivum (bread wheat). Its description in RNAcentral is "partial small subunit ribosomal RNA". The record is from RNAcentral. Lineage: Eukaryota; Viridiplantae; Streptophyta; Magnoliopsida; Poales; Poaceae.